RNAcentral lists this ribosomal RNA (492 nucleotides) under uncultured bacterium. Its description in RNAcentral is "partial 16S ribosomal RNA". It matches the Rfam family "Bacterial small subunit ribosomal RNA", at positions 29 to 507 of the family's 1533-position model. The record is from RNAcentral.
AGUGAACGCUGGCGGUAGGCCUAACACAUGCAAGUCGAACGGCAGCACAGUAAGAGCUUGCUCUUACGGGUGGCGAGUGGCGGACGGGUGAGGAAUACAUCGGAAUCUACUUUUUCGUGGGGGAUAACGUAGGGAAACUUACGCUAAUACCGCAUACGACCUACGGGUGAAAGCAGGGGAUCUUCGGACCUUGCGCGAUUGAAUGAGCCGAUGUCGGAUUAGCUAGUUGGCGGGGUAAAGGCCCACCAAGGCGACGAUCCGUAGCUGGUCUGAGAGGAUGAUCAGCCACACUGGAACUGGGACACGGUCCAGACUCCUACGGGAGGCAGCAGUGGGGAAUAUUGGACAAUGGGCGCAAGCCUGCUCCAGCCAUACCGCGUGGGUGAAGAAGGCCUUCGGGUUGUAAAGCCCUUUUGUUGGGAAAGAAAAGCAGCAGGUUAAUACCCCGCUGUUCUGACGGUACCCAAAGAAUAAGCACCGGCUAACUUCGUG